RNAcentral lists this ribosomal RNA (630 nucleotides) under Enterococcus faecalis. RNAcentral describes it as "bacterial SSU rRNA". It matches the Rfam family "Bacterial small subunit ribosomal RNA", at positions 39 to 640 of the family's 1533-position model. Lineage: Bacteria; Bacillati; Bacillota; Bacilli; Lactobacillales; Enterococcaceae. The record is from RNAcentral.
GCGGCGUGCCUAAUACAUGCAAGUCGAACGCUUCUUUCCUCCCGAGUGCUUGCACUCAAUUGGAAAGAGGAGUGGCGGACGGGUGAGUAACACGUGGGUAACCUACCCAUCAGAGGGGGAUAACACUUGGAAACAGGUGCUAAUACCGCAUAACAGUUUAUGCCGCAUGGCAUAAGAGUGAAAGGCGCUUUCGGGUGUCGCUGAUGGAUGGACCCGCGGUGCAUUAGCUAGUUGGUGAGGUAACGGCUCACCAAGGCCACGAUGCAUAGCCGACCUGAGAGGGUGAUCGGCCACACUGGGACUGAGACACGGCCCAGACUCCUACGGGAGGCAGCAGUAGGGAAUCUUCGGCAAUGGACGAAAGUCUGACCGAGCAACGCCGCGUGAGUGAAGAAGGUUUUCGGAUCGUAAAACUCUGUUGUUAGAGAAGAACAAGGACGUUAGUAACUGAACGUCCCCUGACGGUAUCUAACCAGAAAGCCACGGCUAACUACGUGCCAGCAGCCGCGGUAAUACGUAGGUGGCAAGCGUUGUCCGGAUUUAUUGGGCGUAAAGCGAGCGCAGGCGGUUUCUUAAGUCUGAUGUGAAAGCCCCCGGCUCAACCGGGGAGGGUCAUUGGAAACUGGGAGA